CAUCUUUUUAUCUGUAAAACAACAACAAAGACUAGUGGUAGGAGAGGGAGCACACACACAAUAAAAAUUAUUUUGUAUCAUUUUGAGAAUAUAUACAAACAUAUAGUCCGAUAUAUAAUGGAAACUCAUUGUACUCCAUUGUCAAAAAAUGGCUCAUUUUGUGAUAUUUCAAAACAAGGUCAUAACAUAUAGACAUACAACAUGUCAUUCUUGAAUUUUUUUAAAUAAGUAUAAUUAGAGGCUUGUUCGCCUGUAGCUCUCUUAGUUAGCUUGAAUGGCUAUUAUUAAAAUGAUCACACUAGCACUAGCAUUAAUUCUUUCAACACCUGUGGAUUAAAAGUCUACUGUACAGGCUGUGUGUGGUGGCAGAAGCAUGUGGAUCUCUGUGAACUUGAGGCCUAGGCCAGCCAGGGAUAUGCAGUAAGAACCCAUCUCAAGGAACAGAAAAGAAAAAAGAAGAGAAGAGAAGAGAAGAGAAGAGAAGAGAAGAGAAGAGAAGAGAAGAGAAGAGAAGAGAAGAGAAGAGAAGAGAAGAGAAAAAAAGACAAAAGAAGAAAGGAGAGGAAAGAAAAGGAAAGGAAAUCUACUGUACAUCAAUUGUAGGGUUACAAAUGCUAAGACACAUGUGUGUCUCUUGAGAUGGCUUCACAGCAUUUUGCAUUUUGUAAAAAACCAAAGAGUUGAAGAUGUGGAGUGAAUUAGCAAGCAGAUGGAGCAAGAAAGCAGGUGACGCAGCAGAGUAAAGAGCAAUGAGAUAGGGAUGCUGAGAGAUGGCUCAGGUAAGACAGUGGCUGUUCUUCCAGAGGACCCAGGUUCAGUGCCCAGUACCCAUAUGGAGACUGACCACCAUCUAUAAGUCUAGUCUCAGGAGGUCUGACACCUCCUCUGAGCUCACAGGCAUCGUCCAUGCAAGUGGUGCAUGGACAUCAUUAUACUCCAUGGUCAAAAAUGGCUCAUUUUGUGAUACUUCAAAAGAUGGAGCACAUAACAGAGCCUAAGGGAGAUGUGGAUGAGUUGAAUGGAGUCGAUGUGGAUUUCCUAACACUGUGAGUUCGCAUGACAUUUGCCAGAAGUAAAUAAAAGAAAUGGAAUAGAAAAAAAAACAAAGCAAAUAUUAAAUCUUGACCUGAAAUAUUUGAGGAAAAGUAAUUCAGUGUACCCCAACAACUGCUAAAAGCAUUCAUUAUCACUAAGGCCUUAUGUUCACACACACACUCACACACACACACACACACACACACUCACACACACAUACACACACACUCACACGCACACACUCACAUACUCACACACACUAACACACUCACACACACAUACACACACACACUCACACACUCACACACACACACACACACACAUACAAAAGGAGGGUGGGAGGGAGAGAAUGUUUGUGAAAUCCUGAGGAUUCCUGUACAAGUAUUUGUUUUGUUUGUUUUCCUAACCAAACAGACAUAUUUCAUCCAAGAUGAGUGAUCUAUUUUUAAUAACCAAAUACACACAUUUUUCCAUCCUCAUAGCAACCAAUCCCCCAACUCUUUGGAUACUAACAGUGUCUCCAACAAUUCACUUAAGUCUCCCAUUAAUUACCAGGAGUUAGCAUGAGACUACAGGUUCAUAGCUCAGCUGCACAAGACCUGGCUCAUUUCAGCUGCUGGUCACCAUGUCAGAUCACCCAUGUGUCUCCAUUCUCCUCCGCAGGGCUAAGUGAUGAGUGAAAACGGAAUCGAUUUCCACUGUGCAGUAUAAGGAUUUGAGAAUUGUACCCACUGACAGAUCUACCCACCACACAUUUUUGUGUGUGGUAAGAACACUUAUGAUCUAUUCUUUUAGGAACUUUCAAUGAUAUAAUAACACAUUAUUAACUAUGGUCACCAUGCUACACAAUAGAACUCAGGGAUCUGGUCACCCUGUCCAGUUAAAACUAGACUCUUCCAGUAUCUCUGUAUUCUUCCUUCUCCUCUAGACCUUGGCAACCAUCAUUCUACAUCCGGCUUCUUGAGUUCACCCUUCUCAGUUUGCACAUAUAAGAAAGACCUUAUAGUCGGGCGUGGUGGUGCAUGCCUUUAAUCCCAGCACUUGGGAGGCAGAGGCAGGCAGAUUUCUGAGUUUGAGGCAAGGGUUAGGCAAGCCUCUACAGAGUGAGUUCCAGGAGAGCCAGGGCUACACAGAGAAACCCUGUCUCGAAAAAAAAUUUAAAAAA
RNAcentral lists this long non-coding RNA (2200 nucleotides) under Mus musculus (house mouse). RNAcentral describes it as "long non-coding RNA chr7:90011680-90013880". The record is from RNAcentral. Lineage: Eukaryota; Metazoa; Chordata; Mammalia; Rodentia; Muridae.